AUCUUACUUCAUAUUCGGUUCUCUACCUUGAUUCUAUAUAUUCCGGCCCAGGAUUGAUAAACCAAUCUCCAUUUGCUAGCUGUCAGCUAGCUACAUUCAUGUUUGCCUAGUGGUGGUGUUUGCAUGGUUGCAGUUUAUAGUUGAUAAGAGAUUUUUUUAUCAAAAAUAUGAAUCCAAGUUUGAAGAAGGGGGAGUCCUCCACACAACAGGAGAAUUUUUUCAAUCACAUUGUUUGAGUUCUUAGAAUAUGGCGUGUUUGGAUUUUUGGGGUUAAUGAGUUCAGGAAAAUGAGCAAUACGGAAAGGUAAAAAAGAUUCCGGAAAGGAUGCAAGAAGCAACUUGGAGUGCAGGAAGUACAGCCCUUAAAGCCAGACCUUAUUGGGUCUUAAAGGAAGAAAUGCCCAUAACCAUUGAUGAACAAGGUUCAUAUUGGGUGGUUGAUGCUGAAUUGCUGACUUGAAUACUUGUUCAAGGAUAUGGCCAAUAAAGAUUACAUGUUCUGGUGACUUUCUAAGGUGGUCUGCGCCAAUUCAAUGAACUCGACCGAGUCACCCGUUUAAUGUAACUCGGCGCUAUUUAAAACUCGAGUGCAUAACUGUAUCAAGUGUGCUUUGUUUUCUUCGUUCCCUCUUCUGAGUCUCAUAUUCUCUAAUUGCCUGCGAAUGAAUUCACCCCUUGAAGCCCCUCUUCGCAAUUAGUGUUGAUUGAGUUUUAGCUACAAGUUUACCAGCCUAUGCUGCUAGGGAGAUGAAAUCAAUUGGCAAGGAUUAUGACAAAAUUAUGGAGCAUGCAUCUAAUCGGAAGCUAAUUCCUCCAAGUUCUCCUGAUAAAAGCAACAUAGCUGGAGCCCCAAAGUCAAAUCCUCGAAUUGGUUUUGAAUACGAGGUGGAAGUUCCUUCCAUGAUAAAAGAAUCAAAACGGCUUACACUUCUAAUGAAUCCUGCUGAUUCAGAACUUGUACAUAAAGAAGUGGAGGAUAAUGUAGCUACUUUGAAUAACUCAUGGAGUGAUACUGAUGGAAAAAGUUUUCUCCUUGGUUUGUUUAUCUUUUUGGGAAGAAUUUUGUGCAGAUAAAAAGAUUUUUAGAGAACAAAGGGAUGGAGGAAAUACUGUCAUUUUACUAUGGGAAGUUUUAUAAGUCUGAUGAAUAUCGUAGAUGGUCAGACUGCAUGAAAAUUAAAGGGAGAAAAUGUAUAACAGGACACACUUUUUCUGGUCGGAAGCAAUGUGAACUUUGUCUCGCUUAACUCUCCAUGUCUCUGAAGAAUUUAAAGAUGUUUUGAACAGGUUUCCAAGUCAUAUUAGAAGGUGAGACUUUCUCUAGAAGAAUAUGUCUCUUCUUUGAAGUCUAGUGUUGGACUUGGUGUUCUUGUGGAAGCUGUAGGCAUUGGUAAGGGGAAGGAAGACCUUAAGCUUGCAGUAGAAGAAACUAAAGUUGGUGGCUGCAAUGAGGAAGAGGCAGAGAAGGGAUCCUACAAGGUUCAUGACAAACUAGAAGAGAUAUAUCCUGAUGACGAACAGGUUAACGAUGCUGUCAUCGAAAUCCUUGAAAAAAGGUCAGGUCGGCCCUCCCAAUUAGCAAUGAAUUUAGAGGCCAAUCUGAAUCAACCAACAACUAAUGAAGAACUGAAGCAAGCUCUGAGCAAAUUUCGAAGUUUGGCUUAUGAAGAAAGCUUCAAGACUUGUUUCGACAGGCCGAAUUACAAGAAAGAAUUGGCAGAAGCAAUUGAUGAGCUCAUAAAGUUCAAGGAUACGAUGAUCGAGGAAGAUAAACAUGAUCUGGACGCAUUCAUAGAGAUUUUUGACCAAGCAUAUCCUCUCAGUAAGUAGAAACGUAAGUGCAGAGAGGUGCUUGAGAAGAUCGAAAAUGAUACUAAGGAUGACAGAUCCAAACUUGAAUCCUUGAAAAUGAAGACAAUUGAUCUGAAAUCCAAAUAUGUCAAGCUCAAGCCGUCUCUUGCAAAUUUAGAGAAAGAAGAGAAGGAUUUAGAAGAACAACUAAAAACAAUUCAGGAUAAGCUUGUGACUGUUCGAAAGCAAAAAGAUGAAACUAUUGCAGCUAAAGCAAAAGUGAUCAAAACUCAGGAAGAAACUCUUGCAGCUGCGAAAAUUAUUGCUGCACCUUUAGUAGAACAAUUACAGAAAGAGAUCUCUCCAAGAAAAUCAGGCCUAGUUAUUUGCAGACCCCAAAGUUUUGAUCAAGAAGCACAACAAAAUGAGACUUGUCUACCUGCCUUGAACAUUUUUGCUUGAGCAAAUUACACUCGCAUCCCCUGAGGGCUAGCGCUUAUUACACUCAACCUCACUCCUUUUUUUUUUUAUCAUAUACAAGACUCCAUUGUAUUUUUACCAUCCAUUACACUGUGCCCCCUAACCCACUAACACUAUCAACCUUAACAAGAACUAGACAUGUGAUUUGUAGCGGGUGCCAAGUUAGGUGACUGUACAUGACAUGCAACGAGAGCACCAGUCGAGGGUGAGGUCGCUGCGGCACUGGAAGAGGCUGUAGAUGGUGUCGGAGGAGGCGAGGACGGUGAAUUUGUUGUGGUUGUGGUUGGCAAAGGCGACAGAGUUGACGAGGGAUGUGAGGAGCGAGUUGACGGUGUUUUCGUAGGUGAAAUCAGCGUGAACUAGGACUGCAAGUAGACUUGCACGAGAGUGAUAGGGAUUCUUAAGACAUUUCACAAAAAUCAAUAGGUUCAGGAGAGACAAAAAAAAUGUGAUUUUACCAAAAGUGUGUAGGUGAAAUAAACCCUAACAUAAGGGGGUGAGUGUAAUUUGUUCUUUUUUCUUUGAUUAUUAUUUCCAGCUCUUUAGAAUGCUUUGAACAGGAUUCAUACCUUUGCUAAUUGAGUGGUAUGUUUACUUCCAUAA
Glycine soja is the source of this 2874-nucleotide long non-coding RNA. RefSeq lists it as uncharacterized. The transcript is spliced from 4 exons. The record is from RefSeq and is a predicted model, not a curated record. NCBI's taxonomy places the organism in Eukaryota, Viridiplantae, Streptophyta, Magnoliopsida, Fabales, Fabaceae.